UACAGAGGUGGCAAGCGUUGUUCGGAAUUACUGGGCGUAAAGGGCGCGUAGGCGGCCAUCUAAGUCAGACGUGAAAUCCCCCGGCUUAACCUGGGAACUGCGUCUGAUACUGGAAGGCUUGAGUAUGGGAGAGGGAUGUAGAAUUCCAGGUGUAGCGGUGAAAUGCGUAGAUACCUGGAGGAAUACCGGUGGCGAAGGCGGCAUCCUGGACCAUUACUGACGCUCAUGCACGAAAGCGUGGGGAGCAAACAGG
RNAcentral lists this ribosomal RNA (253 nucleotides) under uncultured bacterium. Its description in RNAcentral is "partial 16S ribosomal RNA". It matches the Rfam family "Bacterial small subunit ribosomal RNA", at positions 524 to 776 of the family's 1533-position model. The record is from RNAcentral.